GCGGCGUGCUUACCAUGCAGUCGAACGAUGAACCACUUCGGUGGGGAUUAGUGGCGAACGGGUGAGUAACACGUGGGCAAUCUGCCCUGCACUCUGGGACAAGCCCUGGAAACGGGGUCUAAUACCGGAUAUUGACCUUCACGGGCAUCUGUGAGGUUCGAAAGCUCCGGCGGUGCAGGAUGAGCCCGCGGCCUAUCAGCUUGUUGGUGAGGUAAUGGCUCACCAAGGCGACGACGGGUAGCCGGCCUGAGAGGGCGACCGGCCACACUGGGACUGAGACACGGCCCAGACUCCUACGGGAGGCAGCAGUGGGGAAUAUUGCACAAUGGGCGAAAGCCUGAUGCAGCGACGCCGCGUGAGGGAUGACGGCCUUCGGGUUGUAAACCUCUUUCAGCAGGGAAGAAGCGAAAGUGACGGUACCUGCAGAAGAAGCGCCGGCUAACUACGUGCCAGCAGCCGCGGUAAUACGUAGGGCGCAAGCGUUGUCCGGAAUUAUUGGGCGUAAAGAGCUCGUAGGCGGCUUGUCACGUCGGUUGUGAAAGCCCGGGGCUUAACCCCGGGUCUGCAGUCGAUACGGGCAGGCUAGAGUUCGGUAGGGGAGAUCGGAAUUCCUGGUGUAGCGGUGAAAUGCGCAGAUAUCAGGAGGAACACCGGUGGCGAAGGCGGAUCUCUGGGCCGAUACUGACGCUGAGGAGCGAAAGCGUGGGGAGCGAACAGGAUUAGAUACCCUGGUAGUCCACGCCGUAAACGGUGGGCACUAGGUGUGGGCAACAUUCCACGUUGUCCGUGCCGCAGCUAA
Molecule: ribosomal RNA, 799 nt
Filed under: Streptomyces sp. D123
Lineage: Bacteria; Bacillati; Actinomycetota; Actinomycetes; Kitasatosporales; Streptomycetaceae
Description: bacterial SSU rRNA
Rfam family: Bacterial small subunit ribosomal RNA
Source: RNAcentral